GUGCCCGCCUCAAAAAUGGCCGCCCCGACUGGCAACAGGUUCAUCGGUCACGCGGCCACGGUCUACCUCGGCGUGGUCAGGUCGCGUUAAGAGGACUUGGGACGGGGACGCUAUCAAGGCAAUCUUCGAGGAUGGGUUGAACAGCUUCCAAACCCCUCUGCAGAAGAGCACCAGCCGCCUGGAAGCCACAGCCCGGGGAAAAUCGAACACGUGGCAACACUAGCACAGUAUGGUCAAGACAGUUACUUGGUGGCCUUCUUGUGAGGAUCAGUAAGAAAAGUUUCGAUGGCCUUUCAGAAGCUCAUUAGUCUGAUGUAGUCCCAUUUGUUUAUUUUUUCUUUUGUUUCCCAUGCCUGAGGACACAUGUAUUCAAAAAGAUGCUGCUAAG
This is a long non-coding RNA of Equus quagga, 388 nucleotides long. RefSeq lists it as uncharacterized. The record is from RefSeq and is a predicted model, not a curated record. NCBI's taxonomy places the organism in Eukaryota, Metazoa, Chordata, Mammalia, Perissodactyla, Equidae. The transcript has 3 exons.